AGGACGAACGCUGGCGGCGUGCUUAACACAUGCAGGUCGAGCGGAAAGGCCCUUCGGGGUACUCGAGCGGCGAACGGGUGAGUAACACGUGAGCAACCUGCCCUUAGCUUCGGGAUAGCUCCGGGAAACCGGAAUUAAUACCGAAUAUGACUUUGGCUGACAUCAGCAGAAGUGGAAAGUUUUUCGGCUAGGGAUGGACUCGCGGCCUAUCAGCUAGUUGGUGAGGUAACGGCCCACCAAGGCGACGACGGGUAGCCGGCCUGAGAGGGCGACCGGCCACACUGGGACUGAGACACGGCCCAGACUCCUACGGGAGGCAGCAGUGGGGAAUAUUGCGCAAUGGGGCGAAAGCCUGACGCAGCGACGCCGCGUGGGGGAUGAAUGCCUUCGGGUUGUAAACCCCUUUCAGCAGGGACGAGGCGAAAGUGACGGUACCUGCAGAAGAAGCGCCGGCUAACUACGCGCCAGCAGCCGC
RNAcentral lists this ribosomal RNA (475 nucleotides) under uncultured bacterium. RNAcentral describes it as "SSU rRNA". It matches the Rfam family "Bacterial small subunit ribosomal RNA", at positions 26 to 518 of the family's 1533-position model. The record is from RNAcentral.